AGGUCAGGAAAGCCUGAACUUUCUCAUCCAACACCCGUUCAAGUCGGAGGAUGCUGAUUAAUUCAUGAUGGAAAGGUAUCAAUUUCACAGCCCAGACCUCUACAUUCUUGAAAUGCUCUUCUCAUGGGAGACAUUAAAUAAGCUUUGAAUUAACUUGCCAUGACACCCAGGAUGCAGCUGUAGGAACACCACUGGGUCCCUGGAUGUCAUGUAAGCCCUUAAGUAAAAGUGCCAUCAAAUGAUUUCUCAGAAAUUAUAAAGAAACAAAAGGACCAUAAACAAGAUAAGGUGGCAUGAGGAAACAUUACAAGUACCUUUCAGAGCUGACUGGCAAAGAAACUCCUGAGGUGACGGUUCUACCCCAAUAUUACUUCUUCGAAGAGCAACCUAACUGACCUUGUAUUGAAGACAGCGUAACCCCCAAGAGGAAAGGAGCUUGGAGCCCUGAAUCAGAGUAGAAGACAGGCUGAAUGAAUACCAGCCUUGGACUGUUGUGUGAAUGAAAAACAAGUUUUGAGAUUUGUGUGGUUUAUUUAUUAUAGUUACUGUUAUUAUUAAAGUUUUUCACUGCUUUACUCUCAG
This 582-nucleotide long non-coding RNA is filed under the name Homo sapiens (human). RNAcentral's name for it is "SATB1 antisense RNA 1". Lineage: Eukaryota; Metazoa; Chordata; Mammalia; Primates; Hominidae. The record is from RNAcentral.